RNAcentral lists this ribosomal RNA (477 nucleotides) under Candidatus Kuenenia stuttgartensis. Its description in RNAcentral is "bacterial SSU rRNA". It matches the Rfam family "Bacterial small subunit ribosomal RNA", at positions 365 to 832 of the family's 1533-position model. The record is from RNAcentral. Lineage: Bacteria; Pseudomonadati; Planctomycetota; Candidatus Brocadiia; Candidatus Brocadiales; Candidatus Brocadiaceae.
UUCGCAAUGCCCGAAAGGGUGACGAAGCGACGCCGCGUGCGGGAAGAAGGCCCUCGGGUUGUAAACCGCUGUCAGGAGUUAAGAAAUAUAGAGAUGUUAAUAGCGUCUCUAUUUGACGAAGGCUCCAGAGGAAGCCACGGCUAACUCUGUGCCAGCAGCCGCGGUAAUACAGAGGUGGCAAGCGUUGUUCGGAAUUAUUGGGCGUAAAGAGCACGUAGGCGGCCCUGCAAGUCAGUUGUGAAAGCCUUCCGCUCAACGGAAGAAUGCCAGCUGAUACUACAGGGCUAGAGUACGGGAGGGGAGAGUGGAACUUCUGGUGGAGCGGUGAAAUGCGUAGAUAUCAGAAGGAACGCCGGCGGCGAAAGCGACUCUCUGGACCGAAACUGACGCUGAGUGUGCGAAAGCUAGGGGAGCAAACGGGAUUAGAUACCCCGGUAGUCCUAGCCGUAAACGAUGGGCACUAAGUAGAGGGGUUUU